GACGAACGCUGGCGGCGUGCUUAACACAUGCAAGUCGAACGGAAAGGCCCUGCUUUUGUGGGGUGCUCGAGUGGCGAACGGGUGAGUAACACGUGUGUAACCUGCCCUUGUCUUUGGGAUAACUUCAGGAAACUGGGGCUAUUACCGGAUAGGAGCUCCUGCUGCAUGGUGGGGGUUGGAAAGUUUCGGCGGUUGGGGAUGGACUCGCGGCUUAUCCGCUUGUUGGUGGGGUAGUGGCUUACCAAGGUUUUGACGGGUAGCCGGCCUGGGAGGGUGACCGGCCACAUUGGGACUGAGAUACGGCCCAGACGCCUACGGGAGGCAGCAGGGGGGAAUAUUGCAGAAUGGGGGGAAGCCUGAGGCAGAAACGCCGCGUGCGUGAUGACGUCCUACGAGUGGAAAACCGCUUUCGCCUGUGACGAAGCGUGAGUGACGGUAAUGGGUAAAGAAGCACCGGCUAACUACGUG
RNAcentral lists this ribosomal RNA (468 nucleotides) under uncultured bacterium. Its description in RNAcentral is "partial 16S ribosomal RNA". It matches the Rfam family "Bacterial small subunit ribosomal RNA", at positions 28 to 507 of the family's 1533-position model. The record is from RNAcentral.